Molecule: non-coding RNA, 107 nt
Organism: Mycena rebaudengoi
Lineage: Eukaryota; Fungi; Basidiomycota; Agaricomycetes; Agaricales; Mycenaceae
Source: the annotation of a GenBank genome assembly
UGCCCCUUGGCCCAGUUGGUUAAGGCGCACGACUGUUAUGUUUGUGACGUCCGUCACGUUUCAAUUACGUAAUCGUGAGAUCGAGAGUUCAAGUCUCUCAGGGGCAG